GCAGCAGGUUCCCAAUUAGGGGUAAUGGUUUUGGUCCUGGAGGUUCCUUUCUGUCUUCCUUGGAGCUGAAGCUAGAGGAGCAGACAAGGUAGACGAGUAGCAGGACAACAAGACCCCCCAACAGGGAGAUAGAGCUGGAGGACUGGAGAAACAGUUCUAAUACCCCCAUGACUU
Etheostoma cragini (Arkansas darter) is the source of this 174-nucleotide long non-coding RNA. RefSeq lists it as uncharacterized. NCBI's taxonomy places the organism in Eukaryota, Metazoa, Chordata, Actinopteri, Perciformes, Percidae. The record is from RefSeq and is a predicted model, not a curated record. The transcript has 2 exons.